AGUUGGUUCUGUGGCUCUUUUCAUGAGU
RNAcentral lists this non-coding RNA (28 nucleotides) under Rattus norvegicus (Norway rat). Lineage: Eukaryota; Metazoa; Chordata; Mammalia; Rodentia; Muridae. The record is from RNAcentral.